Centropristis striata (black sea bass) is the source of this 163-nucleotide long non-coding RNA. RefSeq lists it as uncharacterized. The record is from RefSeq and is a predicted model, not a curated record. The transcript is spliced from 3 exons. NCBI's taxonomy places the organism in Eukaryota, Metazoa, Chordata, Actinopteri, Perciformes, Serranidae.
GAUAAAUCCAGGGAUGCAACCUAUUCUGUGAUUGAACUUAAAAACAUGAGGAAGGAUGAUGAAGCCCACCAGAACGCUCUUUACUCGACUGUGGAGAUGGCAUCAGCUGCAGAUGAUAACCUGACGUAUGCCCAGGUACACACCAAAAUGAACGCAGAGAAAG